UAGCUUUGCCUAAGUCGAACUCUUACAAGUUUGAUAAAGUUCAUAGAAAAAAUUACUAAUAUCUACAACAUCAAAUAUGUAUAGUAUGAAAAUAUAUUUUAUGAUGAAUCUAAUGAAGCUAAUUUGGUGUUGUAGAUGUUGGUUCAUUUUUCUAUAGACUUGGUCAAGCUUAACAAGGUUUUAACUUGGGACAAACCUAGA
Molecule: microRNA precursor, 201 nt
Filed under: Triticum aestivum (bread wheat)
Lineage: Eukaryota; Viridiplantae; Streptophyta; Magnoliopsida; Poales; Poaceae
Also listed under: 1 other name
Description: MIR1435 microRNA precursor family
Rfam family: MIR1435 microRNA precursor family
Source: Rfam by way of RNAcentral